AUGGCACUGGUCAAGAGCCACCACCAAAUGUUGGCCUCCUCCUCCACCUCCUCGUCCUCCCCCUCCUCCCAGCAGCAGCCGCCGCCGCCGCCGCCGCCGCUGGCGCCGCCUCCCCCGGCCACCGACCAGCCCUCCCCCGCCAAGCGCAAGAGGCGCCCUCCCGGCACGCCAGACCCUGAUGCGGAGGUGGUGGCGCUAACGCCGAGGACGCUGCUGGAGUCGGACCGGUACGUGUGCGAGAUCUGCGGGCAGGGGUUCCAGCGGGAGCAGAACCUCCAGAUGCACCGGCGGCGGCACAAGGUUCCCUGGCGGCUGGUGAAGCGGGCUCCGGCGCCGUCGGCGGGGGAGGACGGCGGCGCGGGCACGGCGGGAGGGGCCGGCGCGACGACGGUGCCGCGGAAGCGCGUGUUCGUGUGCCCCGAGCCGAGCUGCCUGCACCACGACCCGGCCCACGCGCUGGGCGACCUGGUGGGGAUCAAGAAGCACUUCCGGCGCAAGCACGGCGGGCGGCGGCAGUGGGUCUGCGCCCGCUGCGCCAAGGGCUACGCCGUCCAGUCCGACUACAAGGCCCACCUCAAGACCUGCGGCACCCGCGGCCACUCCUGCGACUGCGGCCGCGUCUUCUCCCGGGUGGAGAGCUUCAUCGAGCACCAGGACGCGUGCAACUCCGGCCGGAUGCGCGGCGAGGCGGGGGCCGUGCCGUCGGCGCUCCCGGUGCUCCGGCCUGUCGUUAUCAGGCAUCCGGCUCCGGGGGUGCCGUCGACGCCGCCGCCGGAGCUCCAGCUCCUCCCGGUAGCUACCAAGGCGCCGGUGAACGCCACGCCCGCCGUAUUCUCCGCCUCCCACGAGCCCCACGCGACGACGAAGCUGGAGCUCUCCAUCGGCCCAGUCGCGUCCUUGGACGGCGUGUCCGGCGCCGACGACGGGAGGGAAGAGAUGAUGCGUGCCAUGCAGGAGAAGGCCGCCGCGGACGCCGAGCGGGCGCGGGCGCGGGAAGAGGCCGCGGCGGCGGAGCGCGCGCUGGAGGAGGCGCGGCGCGCGCGGCAGCGGGCCCGGGGCGAGCUGGAGAAGGCGUGCGCGCUGCGUGACCAUGCCGCGCGGCUGCUGGCGCAUGUCACGUGCCACGCGUGCCGCCAGCGCUCGUUCGGCAUGGUGCCCAUGGGCGUCGCCGCCGGCGGUGACGGCGGCCACGGCGGCUCGGCGGUGGCCUGCGAGGCCCUGAGGAGAGGAGCAGGGUUAGGACUCUAG
This 1248-nucleotide ribosomal RNA is filed under the name Triticum aestivum (bread wheat). RNAcentral describes it as "partial small subunit ribosomal RNA". Lineage: Eukaryota; Viridiplantae; Streptophyta; Magnoliopsida; Poales; Poaceae. The record is from RNAcentral.